RNAcentral lists this ribosomal RNA (254 nucleotides) under uncultured bacterium. RNAcentral's name for it is "partial 16S ribosomal RNA". It matches the Rfam family "Bacterial small subunit ribosomal RNA", at positions 524 to 776 of the family's 1533-position model. The record is from RNAcentral.
GACAGAGGGUGCAAACGUUGUUCGGAAUUACUGGGCGUAAAGCGUGCGCAGGCGGUUUUGUAAGUCUGUCGUGAAAUCCCCGGGCUCAACCUGGGAAUUGCGAUGGAGACUGCAAGGCUAGAAUCUGGCAGAGGGGGGUAGAAUUCCACGUGUAGCAGUGAAAUGCGUAGAGAUGUGGAGGAACACCGAUGGCGAAGGCAGCCCCCCUGGGUCAAGAUUGACGCUCAUGCACGAAAGCGUGGGGAGCAAACAGG